This 1507-nucleotide long non-coding RNA is filed under the name Salmo salar (Atlantic salmon). RNAcentral describes it as "lncRNA (ENSSSAG00000114153.1)". Lineage: Eukaryota; Metazoa; Chordata; Actinopteri; Salmoniformes; Salmonidae. The record is from RNAcentral.
UGCAGAUUCACAUAAAUACCUCUCUCUCUCUCUCUCUCGUGAUGAAAUGAGUGGAUGAGUAGCGUGCAAGAGAAGAUAAUUUAGGUCAGUGUAAUGCUGUGCUGUGUGGAUAGAGAUAAUUUAGGUCAGUGUAAUGCUGUGCUGUGUGGAUAGAGAUAAUUUAGGUCAGUGUAAUGCUGUGCUGUGUGGAUAGAGAUAAUUUAGGUCAGUGUAAUGCUGUGCUGUGUGGAUAGAGAUAAUUUAGGUCAGUGUAAUGCUGUGCUGUGUGGAUAGAGAUAAUUUAGGUUAGUGUAAUGCUGUGCUGUGUGGAUAGAGAUAAUUUAGGUCAGUGUAGUGCUGUACUGUGUGGAUAGAGAUAAUAACCCAUAUAGCCAGCGACUGAAGUGUUUGGACUUCAGCAUGCCUGUUUGGCCCUGUCCGGGGGCAUCAUUGGAUGGGGCCACAGUGUCUCCUGACCCCUUCUGUCUCAGCCUCCAGUAUUUAUGCUGCAGUAGUUUAUGUGUCGGGGGGCUAGGGUCAGUCUGUUAUAUCUGGAGUAUUUCUCCUGUCUUAUCUGGUGUCCUGUGUGAAUUUAAGUAUGCUCUCUCUAAUUCUCUCUUUCUUUCUUUCUCUCUCUCUCUCUCGGAGGACCUGAGCCCUAGGACCAUGCCUCAGGACUACCUGGCAUGAUGACUUCUUGCUGUCCCCAGUCCACCUGGCCGUGCUGCUGCUCCAGUUUCAACUGUUCUGCCUGCGGCUAUGGAACCCUGACCUGUUCACCGGACGUGUUACCUGUCCCAGACCUACUGUUUUCAACUCUCUACAGACAGCAGGAGCGGUAGAGAUACUCUCAAUGAUUGGCUAUGAAAAGCCAACUGACAUUUACUCCUGAGGUGCUGACCUGUUGCACCCUCGACAACUACUGUGAUUAUUAUUAUUUGACAAUGCUGGUCAUUUAUGAACAUUUGAACAUCUUGGCCAUGUUCUGUUAUAAUCUCCACCCGGCACAGCCAGAAGAGGACUGGCCACCCCUCAUAGCCUGGUUCCUCUCUAGGUUUCUUCCUAGGUUUUGGCCUUUCUAGGGAAUUUUUCCUAGCCACCGUGCUUCUACACCUGCAUUGCUUGCUGUUUGGGGUUUUAGGCUGGGUUUCUGUACAGCACUUUGAGAUAUCAGCUGAUGUAAGAAGGGCUAUAUAAAUACAUUUGAUUUGAUAUUAUUGCCUAGAUAAUAUGAGAAAGACUGCCAGGCUGCUACACUGCCUUACCAACACACCACCAAGACUCAGCUGCCAGGCUGCUACACUGCCUUACCAACUCACCACCAAGACUCAGCUGCCAGGCUGCUACACUGCCUUACCAACUCACCACCAAGACUCAGCUGCCAGGCUGCUACACUGCCUUACCAACUCACCACCAAGACUCAGCUGCCAGGCUGCUACACUGCCUUACCAACUCACCACCAAGACUCAGCUGCCAGGCUGCUACACUGCCUUACCAACUCACCACCAAGACUCAGCUUUCAAUUUAG